GCUGCGGGCAUUGGGGCCCCUUAAGGAAACCCAGGCCUCCAGGGACUCCGCCGCUCCAGGACUCGGCGCGGAGGGAAUGACUGAGCGACGACCGAGGCAGGGGGGGAUGGGGGUCCUCAUUUAGUGAGGCAGUUUGUAACAGGGUCAGGGAAGAACUGAGCUCGGCUGCGUGCGUUUAUCGGCUGUAUGACCCAGAGCGAGUGGCUCUAGUUUUUGGACCUCAGUAAUGCCAUCUCUAAAAUGCAGGCUUUGACAGAUGGACCUCUGAACAAAAAGAUUAUCUUCCGCUUGGUCCCUCCUUCUAUUUUGUGAAAGGGUAGCAAGAAACAUUUUAUCUGGAAGCCACCAAAAGAAAAGGAAAUAAUCUUUGGCUAUAAAUCGAGGGUAUCUUUGAUUCACAGUGAAGGC
RNAcentral lists this long non-coding RNA (408 nucleotides) under Homo sapiens (human). Its description in RNAcentral is "HSALNT0052690". The record is from RNAcentral. Lineage: Eukaryota; Metazoa; Chordata; Mammalia; Primates; Hominidae.